Molecule: ribosomal RNA, 543 nt
Filed under: Bacillus sp. (in: firmicutes)
Lineage: Bacteria; Bacillati; Bacillota; Bacilli; Caryophanales; Bacillaceae
Description: bacterial SSU rRNA
Rfam family: Bacterial small subunit ribosomal RNA
Source: RNAcentral
GAACCGGGGCUAAUACCGGAUAAUAUUUUGAACUGCAUGGUUCGAAAUUGAAAGGCGGCUUCGGCUGUCACUUAUGGAUGGACCCGCGUCGCAUUAGCUAGUUGGUGAGGUAACGGCUCACCAAGGCAACGAUGCGUAGCCGACCUGAGAGGGUGAUCGGCCACACUGGGACUGAGACACGGCCCAGACUCCUACGGGAGGCAGCAGUAGGGAAUCUUCCGCAAUGGACGAAAGUCUGACGGAGCAACGCCGCGUGAGUGAUGAAGGCUUUCGGGUCGUAAAACUCUGUUGUUAGGGAAGAACAAGUGCUAGUUGAAUAAGCUGGCACCUUGACGGUACCUAACCAGAAAGCCACGGCUAACUACGUGCCAGCAGCCGCGGUAAUACGUAGGUGGCAAGCGUUAUCCGGAAUUAUUGGGCGUAAAGCGCGCGCAGGUGGUUUCUUAAGUCUGAUGUGAAAGCCCACGGCUCAACCGUGGAGGGUCAUUGGAAACUGGGAGACUUGAGUGCAGAAGAGGAAAGUGGAAUUCCAUGUGUAGCGGU